GUAUGAACAGCAAGGGGUUAAUACAUCUUAGUGAACAACCAUAUGAAAGCACAAUAAGGAAGCUUUGUUUCUUGGCCUAGGUCUGUGAUGAAGCCUAUAUUCUUAAAACAAUAAGAAAUACGGGACAGACAACUUGCUGCCAGUGGGAACUGAACCCACAAUCUCUGCAUGUGGUGUACCGUAGCUCAAUUGGCAGAGCAUCAUGUGGAUGUUGUGGUUUUAGCCCCUGCCAAUGGUUUUCCAUUUUUAUUUUCCUGUUCCUUAAAGGGACACUAAAGCGAAACAAUAAAUCAGUUUAGACUAAUGAAGCAUUGUUUGAGAACCCUGCAGGCAGUCAUUUAAAAAAUAUACUUGAUUAGAUGAGAAAAUGAAGGUCCAAGUAUCAGUAUUUGAAUUUCGCGGCGAAACCCAAGCGCCGGUACGUCAGCGUGACGUCGGGGAUUCCAAAGUAUGUUUUCGCAUUUGGGCUGCGUUGGCCGAGUAAAGGUUCCCGAAACUUGUCCUGUUUAAUAUUUGGUUCCUUUAGAACACAAUGUAGUCAAUCUGUACCGCUAUAUAUAAUUAUUAGGCCCUAGAAGGUGCCAUCAAAAUCCAAGACGUCACAGCCCCCAGGUGCGGGAACUGAAGUAGGCGUCGCCACCCGUAUUUUGUUCUUGCGCUUUUUCUGGCUAACCAAAUGUCUUAUCGUUGUAAGAGUGGUGUUUUUGGUGUUGUAGAACGGUAAUUUACUGAUGAAGAAAUCAUUUUUCCCUUUAGUGUCCCUUUAAUUUGGUAUGUUUAUAGUAAAUUUAUCUCUCAAUGAAUGAAGAUAACAUAUGCUUUCCUUGGUUUCAUUGUCUGUUGGUUUCACUGAAAAUUAAAGCUUUUUGGUUCCCCUCAUUCAUCGCGUAACACUAUGCGACCUAGUUAAAAAGCAUAGAAAAUUAACUUUUAGAAACAUAUGAUUUGCUUUUUAAUAGAAAUAAUAUUUAUUGACAAAGAAAUGAAUUGCAAUCGUGCAUCUGUAUCCUUAGCCACUUUGGUAGUUUUUGAUCCAUUACAUAAAUAGAACCAAUACAUACAAUAAGGCAUCAGCAGCAAUGCUAUCUGUGGAAAUUACUAUUUUUGUGAGAAGCAUAGCUGAAAUUUUUUAGUGAUAUGUCAAGUUUCUUAAGUAUAUCACAUUUUGGCAGAUAUCUUGCUUCCUUAAAAAUGUUAAAGUACCUACAUUUGUUUCUGAGUUCUCUUGCUUUAUUAGCUGCUGACUACGUAAUGAUGGUACUGGGCCUCAAUUCUUUGAGCAUGCUACAAAUAACCGAUUUCAGAGUGUACACCAUGUGGAAAGCAGCUUUGGGCUUGAAGAAAGUUUGCUAGUUGCACAUUAUGGAAAUGGUAGGUGCGUGUGAUAUCACAAACGUGUGUUGCUCAGCUGCAGCCUAACAUGAUUGCCAUGCUAGGCAGCACUCUACCAGAAGAGUGAUGGGAAAUGUUGACAAGUGCUGUGUGAAGGAGGCCAAGCUUUUGGUGAACUGGCCUCACAUGAGUGGUCACUGCGGUCUGCGACAGAACCAACUUUUUUCAAGUAUGUCGCUAAAUUGAGACAGAGAAGUCACAAAAUUUUUGCUAAAUUUUGCUUCAAGGUUGCUAAAACUGUCGAGUGAAUUUUACAUGUUUUUGGAACACUAAAUUGUAGGUUGACAUGAUGCAACGCAUGUACCAAAAUGCUUCACGUUUGUCUAGUGGCUGUGCUCGCAGGCCAGGAAUAAACAGUGAAUUUACCAGCAGGGUCUGGCAGACUUUGCUGCUGUAUAAUAAUAAUAAAAAUAAAUAAUGACAGCUGAAAUUAAGAAUGACUUGGGUCACCAAGAGUUGUAUCCACAAGAACACUUGCACUAGAGAAGAAUAAGGGGAUCUGCUAGAAUUUUAGUAAGAGCAAAUUCCAGCCAAUCCCGAUGCUGGAUGCAUAUAUUACUAGUGAAGGCCACCAGCCAAUCAUAAAGAACAGUGCGGAUGAAAAGCUAAGCGAAUUUGUUCCCAUGAUUUUCUUGGCACAAAGAUGCACUUGCGUCUCACAUUAUGCCUAAAAUUUCUAAAUAUAUCGCCACUCAAGAAAGAAAAACUAAAUUAUAUGACGCAAUUUUAACACAGUAUUGAAAAUCGCGUGACUUUUACAUAGGUAAUACCAAGUUGCCGCUGCUUGAUCCACCUGAAAGCUCCAUGCAGUAUCAAUUUGUCGCAAUACUGUGAGAAACGAAGGCAGCGCAUUCAUAUUCACGUGAACAAGCAUGCGUGAACAUGUAUGCCUGCUGUAUUCUAAAUCUAAGCAAAAAAUUAUUUGCAGCAAGUUUUGGCACAUUAUUGUACUGCUAUGCUUGUGACAUCCACCAGUCGAACAUACUUAGUGAAACUGCAGCACUCUCAGCCAUUGCAACACUUUCCAAUAGGCUUUAUAAAGAACUUUUACAGGCACAAUGUGAAGCCCGUUUUUCUUGGAGUAGUUAACCGCAGUGUACGGCCUCUGUGAGUGCAGAUGACCAUUGCCUCAUCAUGGUCACAGAGCCCACGCACCUUGCAGCCAAUUUCGACAUCCUCUUUGUAGCUUCUGAAUACCAUAUUUUGCAUGUAUAACCAACACCAAAAUUGAAAAAGUUUUACAGUAAAGAUGGGGUGCAAGUCAUAUGCGAAUUUCACACUGAGAUGUGGCUCCAUGGCAGCAAAAAUUCUGCCUCGACGGCAUUGCGCUGCCAUGAAACCACACUUUGAGGCACAGAGUUCUCCACCAUUCAUUGCCUUUUAGGAUGACGCUUUGUUCUCCACUCUUUUAUGGUUGCCCGCUGUCCCUUUAUGGGUCACCAUAUUAGGUUAUGCCUUUGUUAAUAGUUAACUUGAAUCAUGACGAAUUGUGCUCGACUGCAAUCCUGUACAGCACAGGAGCUGGAGACCAUCAGCAUUGCCGAAGAGAUGGGGGUGCAGAGCAUGAUGGUAUAACAUGUGUAUCCACGACUGUUUUGACAAAGAUGCACAGCAGCAUCGGCCCCUGCAACCUUCUUAUUUACAGCAAGGCUGUUCAGAGCUGGUUCUGCAUCUGGCCGUGUUCUCCUUCCAGCCUUUGGAAGUCAUGCUUACAUUUGUGUUUUGGUUGAACAUUGUAAUAGCUUUGAAGAUAAACUCAGACAUGUACCCUGAAAAGUGUGCGGCACUUGGGCGUUACCCACAUUCAAUGGGCUGUCCACCGAGCACAGCGCUGGUAGAGAUUGUGGUGGAGAGAUAAGGCAAUUCCUUUUCUUAAAAGUUCUUUCAUAAUUUUCUGUUUUACGUCUUGCACGUUCUCUUCAUCCACGUCUUCAAUGCAAGCGGAACUGACCAACUCAAUCAUCCUCUUCGCCGUCACUUGAGUGGAUGUCCGAGACAUUUUUCAACUCAUUUUCUCCAGAAGCUUGUUGUCACAGUGCUUGUCUGCAUUACCAAGUUUCUUUUCAUAAAACAAGGAAGAAGGCAGCACUGCAAACUAUGAAGCGAUUCACUAGCUAGCCAGGUCAAGCACUGCUCCACACUGCAUGGCGCUUAGCGUAGAGGCUUCCGAAUGUGUUCAUCAUGACACUUUACACAAUUGUGACCGUACACAAAUUGCAGCACUGAGAGGACAGCGGGUGCCGGUGCAUGCAGGUGCUGUAAUGUGAACUUUACACACUCGCACAAUUUUUAUAUCAGUAGGUAAUUUUUUGAAAACUGUAGACAAUGUUGAAUGUAGAAAAUAAAUGAGAAAGACACCAUAUCUGGCGAUGCCAUAAGGCACACUGCCAUCCUUAACAUAUUGCAGGUUUGAUUUAUCUGUGUUCACUGUAUGUCGCAGUAAACACCACAUUUGCAAAAGAAAUAGUGGAGAAUUCGGCUGAAACAGUUAAACUGGCAGCAUCUGUAGCAUGCUCAGAGUAAAAAGUGCGAUUUCGAAAGGUGCACGAUUGUUUAUAACGCCUGAUAGGUUUAAGAAAAGAGGGGCCCUAAAAGGCUGUCUUGUGGCACACCAUUUGUAAUUCACAUACCUACAGAUAAACAGUGCACUUCACACUGAAAGUGAGAGCUAGGGUGCGCUAUACAUAAUUAGAUUAUGAGAAUUCCAGCGGAUACCAAUGUGUUCGAGCUUUGAAAAAAGAACCUCGGGGCUGAUUGUUCUGAGAGCCUUUCUAAAAUUUACAAGCAGGCAUAGUGCAAGAAGUUGUGAUGCAAAGCUAGUUAGUGUGUAGUACUCCUGGUAAACAGAGCAUGUUUUGUUGUGUUGAUAAUUUCUGGUAAAGCCAUACUGACAGUGAAUAAGGAUAGAUUACUUUAGAAAAAAAAGAACACAGAGGUGACAGCAAGUAAAAUAAAUAAAAGGAAAUUAAAGUGUGGAUAAACGUUUAUAUUUA
This is a long non-coding RNA of Dermacentor andersoni, 4385 nucleotides long. RefSeq lists it as uncharacterized. The record is from RefSeq and is a predicted model, not a curated record. NCBI's taxonomy places the organism in Eukaryota, Metazoa, Arthropoda, Arachnida, Ixodida, Ixodidae.